UUGCACGCUGGCGGAAUGCUUUACCCAUGCCAUUCGAGCGGCAGCACGGGGGCAACCCUGGUGGCGAGCGGCGAACGGGUGAGUAAUACAUCGGAACAUGCCCAGUCGUGGGGGAUAACACUUCGAAAGAAGUGCUAAUACCGCAUACGUCCUGAGGGAGAAAGCGGGGGAUCGCAAGACCUCGCGCGAUUGGAGUGGCCGAUGCCAGAUUAGCUAGUUGGUGGGGUAAAGGCCUACCAAGGCAACGAUCUGUAGCUGGUCUGAGAGGAUGAUCAGCCACACUGGGACUGAGACACGGCCCAGACUCCUACGGGAGGCAGCAGUGGGGAAUUUUGGACAAUGGGGGCAACCCUGAUCCAGCCAUUCCGCGUGAGUGAAGAAGGCCUUCGGGUUGUAAAGCUCUUUCGGCAGGAACGAAACGGUGAGCUCUAACAUAGCUUGCUAAUGACGGUACCUGAAGAAGAAGCACCGGCUAACUACGUG
This 483-nucleotide ribosomal RNA is filed under the name uncultured bacterium. Its description in RNAcentral is "partial 16S ribosomal RNA". It matches the Rfam family "Bacterial small subunit ribosomal RNA", at positions 30 to 507 of the family's 1533-position model. The record is from RNAcentral.